Molecule: transfer RNA, 71 nt
Filed under: Marmota monax (woodchuck)
Lineage: Eukaryota; Metazoa; Chordata; Mammalia; Rodentia; Sciuridae
Description: tRNA.Thr
Source: RNAcentral
GAGGUUGUGGCUCAGUGGUGGAGCGCUCACCCAGUACGUGCGGGGUCCUGGGUUUGAUACAUAGCACCACA